Sander lucioperca (pikeperch) is the source of this 515-nucleotide long non-coding RNA. RefSeq lists it as uncharacterized. Lineage: Eukaryota; Metazoa; Chordata; Actinopteri; Perciformes; Percidae. The transcript has 2 exons. The record is from RefSeq and is a predicted model, not a curated record.
GUUUAAAGUUUGUGACUCUCUUUUUUAAACAAGGAUUUCACCAGAAACUUUCAGAAGAGACUGUGGAUUGGCCUGACUGACUCAGAGACAGAGGGGACGUGGAAAUGGGUGGAUGGGACUCCACUGACCAAAAGCUACUGGGAUUCUGGGGAGCCUAACGAUGAGAACGGUGAAGACUGUGUGGAAAUACGUUUUUAUAAUUCAGAAAACAGCUGGAAUGAUGUAGGCUGUUCCACUCGACUCAACUGGAUCUGUGAAAGGAAAGACCGUCCAUAACUCUGUAACCAAACCCACCAGACAGAAAACUAAGGACAAUAAAUAUAUUGCUGAUACAAUUUAAAUCUUCACAAAAGCAACCUGAAUAUACUCAUGUGGACACAUCAUUUCCAAGUGAAAAUCAUUUCCAGCUCAGUGUGGGAUAAUCUGAAGCCUGGUUAUUUGCGCUGCAGUAAAGUGACCUGUUAACACAUAGAAACAAAUGUCCAACGAGGUUCACUGCUUUGGCUGAAAAAAAA